UGCAAGUCGAGCGGGGGAGGUUGCUUCGGUAACUGACCUAGCGGCGGACGGGUGAGUAAUGCUUAGGAAUCUGCCUAUUAGUGGGGGACAACGUUCCGAAAGGAAUGCUAAUACCGCAUACGCCCUACGGGGGAAAGCAGGGGAUCUUCGGACCUUGCGCUAAUAGAUGAGCCUAAGUCGGAUUAGCUAGUUGGUGGGGUAAAGGCCUACCAAGGCGACGAUCUGUAGCGGGUCUGAGAGGAUGAUCCGCCACACUGGGACUGAGACACGGCCCAGACUCCUACGGGAGGCAGCAGUGGGGAAUAUUGGACAAUGGGCGGAAGCCUGAUCCAGCCAUGCCGCGUGUGUGAAGAAGGCCUUUUGGUUGUAAAGCACUUUAAGCGAGGAGGAGGCUCCUUUAGUUAAUACCUAAAGUGAGUGGACGUUACUCGCAGAAUAAGCACCGGCUAACUCUGUGCCAGCAGCCGCGGUAAUACAGAGGGUGCGAGCGUUAAUCGGAUUUACUGGGCGUAAAGCGUGCGUAGGCGGCUUUUUAAGUCGGAUGUGAAAUCCCUGAGCUUAACUUAGGAAUUGCAUUCGAUACUGGGAAGCUAGAGUAUGGGAGAGGAUGGUAGAAUUCCAGGUGUAGCGGUGAAAUGCGUAGAGAUCUGGAGGAAUACCGAUGGCGAAGGCAGCCAUCUGGCCUAAUACUGACGCUGAGGUACGAAAGCAUG
RNAcentral lists this ribosomal RNA (713 nucleotides) under Acinetobacter sp. 1132(2011). RNAcentral's name for it is "bacterial SSU rRNA". It matches the Rfam family "Bacterial small subunit ribosomal RNA", at positions 56 to 763 of the family's 1533-position model. The record is from RNAcentral. Lineage: Bacteria; Pseudomonadati; Pseudomonadota; Gammaproteobacteria; Moraxellales; Moraxellaceae.